CACUGCAACCUGUAUGCUCUCUUUGGCUGGCACUCGCUUCAUAUUCGUCCUGCCCUCGCCCCUCCAAUCUGUUUCCCUCUGGCAGGCAGAGCCCUCGCCCCUCCAUACUCUUUCCCUCUGGCAGGAAGAGCCCUCACCCCUCCACUCUGUUUCCCUCUGGCAGGAAGAGCCCUCGCCACUCCAAUCUGUUUCCCUCUGGCAGGAAGAGCCCUCGCCCCUCCACUCUGUUUCCUUCUGUCAGGCAGAGCCCUCGCCCCUCCGCUCUGUUUCCCUCUGUCAGGCAGAGCCCUCAACCCUCCAAUCUGUUUCCCUCUGGCAGGCAGAGCCCUCGCCCUGCCCCUCUGUUUCCCUCUGGUAGGCAGAGCCCUCGCUCCUCCAAUCUGUUUCCC
Oncorhynchus tshawytscha (Chinook salmon) is the source of this 389-nucleotide long non-coding RNA. The record is from Ensembl. NCBI's taxonomy places the organism in Eukaryota, Metazoa, Chordata, Actinopteri, Salmoniformes, Salmonidae.